RNAcentral lists this ribosomal RNA (268 nucleotides) under uncultured bacterium. RNAcentral's name for it is "partial 16S ribosomal RNA". It matches the Rfam family "Bacterial small subunit ribosomal RNA", at positions 793 to 1055 of the family's 1533-position model. The record is from RNAcentral.
GUCCACGCCGUAAACGAUGAGUGCUGGAUGUCAGGAGCUUUGACCCUCCUGGUGUCGUAGCUAACGCGAUAAGCACUCCGCCUGGGGAGUACGGCCGCAAGGCUAAAAACUCAAAGGAAUUGACGGGGGCCCCGCACAAGCGGUGGAGCAUGUGGUUUAAUUCGACGCAACGCGCAGAACCUUACCUGGGCUAGAAAAUGCAAGAACCUCGGUGAAAACUGAGGGUGCCUUUCGGGGAACUUGUAGUUAGGUGCUGCAUGGCUGUCGU